CAGAUAGUAGUUUAAUUCAAAACGCCGGCUUUGGGUGCCAAAAAUCGCUAACGCGCUAUCUGA
Molecule: transfer RNA, 63 nt
Filed under: Eisenia nordenskioldi
Lineage: Eukaryota; Metazoa; Annelida; Clitellata; Crassiclitellata; Lumbricidae
Description: tRNA-Pro
Source: RNAcentral